Molecule: ribosomal RNA, 253 nt
Filed under: uncultured bacterium
Lineage: Bacteria
Description: partial 16S ribosomal RNA
Rfam family: Bacterial small subunit ribosomal RNA
Source: RNAcentral
UACGUAGGUGACCAGCGUUGUCCGGAUUUACUGGGCGUAAAGAGCGCGCAGGCGGUCGGUCAAGUCGAGUGUGAAAGCCCCCGGCUCAACUGGGGAGGGUCACUCGAUACUGAUCGACCUGAAGGCAGGAGAGGGAAGCGGAAUUCCCUGUGUAGCGGUGAAAUGCGUAGAGAUGGGGGAGAACACUCGUGGCGAAGGCGGCCAGCUAGACCAGUUCUGACACUGAGGCGCGACAGCGUGGGGAGCAAACAGG